This 400-nucleotide unclassified non-coding RNA is filed under the name fungal sp. Its description in RNAcentral is "partial internal transcribed spacer region". The stretch from base 1 to 46 matches the Rfam family "Eukaryotic small subunit ribosomal RNA", at positions 1786 to 1831 of the family's 1831-position model. The record is from RNAcentral. Lineage: Eukaryota; Fungi.
AAGUCGUAACAAGGUUUCCGUAGGUGAACCUGCGGAAGGAUCAUUAACACGUAUCCACGUAUCCACCCCACGUGCAUUCGUUUUCCCACCUCCCUCCCUUCUCACAUGCAUGGGCUAUCGGCACACACGCUGAGUGGCGCGCGUCGUCUGACGCGUGCGUCGUGUGCGCUUACUGACGCGGGCUUCGGCUCGCGACGACCAUGCGAGUGAGUGGAGGCUACUGUUCGGCGCCGCUGGCCCUUGCUCGGGUCAUGCGCUGGGCGACUAUUAUUUACACACCACAAUCACACUUCAUUUUGCUAGUUGACUUUUUUAUAUGUGGAGCGUGCCUCGUGCGCCUCUUCACGUUUCUUAAUUGAACGAAAAAUUACAACUCUUAGCAAUGGAUAUCUAGGUUCUC